AUUGAACGCUGGCGGCAGGCCUAACACAUGCAAGUCGAGCGGCGCGUCGGACGGGUGAGUAAUGCUUAGGAAUCUGCCUGGUAGUGGGGGAUAACGUCCGGAAACGGGCGCUGAUACCGCAUACUAUCAGAUGAGCCUAUGCCGGAUUAGCUAGGGGGUGGGGUAAAGGCCUACCAAGGCGACGAUCCGUAACUGGGCUGAGAGGAUGAUCAGUCACACUGGAACUGAGGCACGGUCCAGACGCCUACGGGAGGCAGCAGUGGGGAAUAUUGCACAAUGGGCGAAAGCCUGAUCCAGCCAUGCCGCGUGUGUGAAGAAGGCCUUCGGGUUGUAAAGUACUUUUAUUGGGAAGGCGGUACCCACAGAAUAAGCACCGGCUAACUUCGUGCCAGCAGCCGCGGUAAUUC
RNAcentral lists this ribosomal RNA (407 nucleotides) under uncultured bacterium. RNAcentral describes it as "partial 16S ribosomal RNA". It matches the Rfam family "Bacterial small subunit ribosomal RNA", at positions 30 to 526 of the family's 1533-position model. The record is from RNAcentral.